AUGGCACCUACUCAAGACGAGCAUAGCUCUCAAGAGUUGCUUCAGACUCAAGUUCAUCUUUGGCACCAUGCAUUGGGAUUUGUCAAGUCCAUGGCACUCAAGUGUGCGAUGGAGCUGCAAAUCCCUAACACCAUCCAACACCAUGGUGGGUCUUUGACCCCUUCUGAGUUGGCCAUGAAGAUUGGACUCCAUUCGUCUAAGCUUCCCCGCUUACUACGAUUCAUGCGUGUGCUCACCGUCUCAGGUAUCUUUGUUGUUCAUGAAGUAGCCUCCCCAGACAAAGAGGUUACUUAUGGGCUUACCCCAACCACACGCCUUCUCGCUAGUGAUGAAGUUAAAUCAAGCAUAUUUCCUAUUCUGUCUUUGAUGCUUGGUACAACUGCCAUUACCCCUUUUCUUGGCAUGCAUUCAUGGUUCCUAGAUGAGCAUUCCAUGUCCCUGUUCAAAAAGGUUCACGUUGACAUUUGGGAGAUGACUGACCAGGACAAUACUUACAACCAGCAAAUCAAUAACGCAAUGGUUUCUGAUAGUAAUUUUCUCAUGGAUAUCAUCUUGAAGGAGUGUGGUGAUGUAUUUCUUGGCAUAAACUCACUUGUUGACGUCGCUGGAGGGCACGGUGGAGCUGCGAGAGCAAUUGCAAAGGCGUUCCCGCAGAUGAAAUGCACCGUGUUGGAUCUCCCUCAUGUGGUUGCAGAAGCCCCUAGUGAUGCCUAUGUGUCAUUUAUUUCUGGCGAUAGGUUUAAGUACAUUCCACCAUCAGAUGUUGUUUUCCUGAAGUGGGUUUUUCAUGAUUGGGGUGAUGAAGACUGUGUCAAGCUGUUAAAAAAUUGCAAGGCAGCUAUCCCUCCCAAAGAUGCUGGUGGAAAGGUGAUAAUCGUUGAUAUGGUAGUUGGAUCUGGGCCAAAUGACAUUGUAGCAAGAGAGACACAGGUUUUGUAUGAUCUCUUUAUCAUGUCUAUUGAGGGCAUUGAGCGGGAGGAACUUGAGUGGAAGAAGAUAUUCAUGGAAGCUGGGUUCGGCGACUACAAAAUUAUAUCAGUGCUGGGAGUUAGGUCUGUUAUUGAGCUCUACCCUUGA
This 1077-nucleotide ribosomal RNA is filed under the name Triticum aestivum (bread wheat). RNAcentral's name for it is "partial small subunit ribosomal RNA". Lineage: Eukaryota; Viridiplantae; Streptophyta; Magnoliopsida; Poales; Poaceae. The record is from RNAcentral.